Long non-coding RNA from Callithrix jacchus (white-tufted-ear marmoset), 749 nucleotides. RefSeq lists it as uncharacterized. The record is from RefSeq and is a predicted model, not a curated record. NCBI's taxonomy places the organism in Eukaryota, Metazoa, Chordata, Mammalia, Primates, Cebidae.
GAGGGGCGGGGCUUUUCCUUUCCUUCCUUUCGCUUAUAGGAGGGCGGAAAGGAGGAGUACUACGGAACGCUACGAGGUUCAAGCCCAUUUAAUCUUGUUUCUCGAUGCUUCCGGAAGAGCUUAUUUAUUCUUUCUCUAAAUAUCUAAUGAGUCUCUGCCGCGCGCCUGGCGCUGCUAUAAAUGCUGAAAAAAAACCAGCAGUGAACUAAACAGACAAAAAUUCCUGUCCUCGUGGAGUUGGCAUUCUAGUGGAACAAGACAGAUGUUAAAACCAAUAGCCGGCGCGGUGGCUCGCGCCUGGAAUCUCAGGUACUCGGGAAGCCUAGGCGGAAGGAUCCCUUCCAGAGUUGGGAGUUGGGAGUUGGAGACCAGACCUGGCUAUUGCCUUGUUUGCUUCUUGCAAUAACCACAGGAAGUCAGAAGAAUAGAUAUUUUCGUUCUCAUAGGACAAAUGAAAACACUGAAGCAUGGAAGAGUUAAUUGAAUCACCUAAGAAAUCACACACACUGAACCCAUCCAGACUUGUGACUCAUGACUCACCAUAUUCUGUGGCCCUCCCUAAUCAGGAGUGCAUGCUGCACAUGAGGAUCCCUGUGAAUCUACCCCUAUGAGUUCAUCCCCAACCAGUCAGCAACACCUAUUCCCUAACCCCCUGCCCACCAGAUUGUCUGGGAGACUGAUUUGAGUGAUAACUCCAAUUAUCUUGUGUGGGCCAGCCUCACAUUAAUAAAACUCUUUCUCUACUGCAA